UGCAAUGAGAGUUGUGCUAAGGUAGCAUAAUCAUUAGUUUUUUAAUUGGAAGCUGGAAUGAACGGUCGGACAAAAAGAAAUCUGUUUCAAUUAUAAAAAUUGAAUUUAACUUUUAAGUGAAAAGGCUUAAAUUGAAUUUAAAGCCGAUAAGACCCUAUAAAACUUUACAUUUAUAUAAUAUAAUUUUAUUUAUUUGUUAAUCAAAAUUAAUUUAUAUUUGUGUUUCAUUGGGGUGAAGAAAGUAUAAAAAUAACUGCUUUUUUUUCUUACAGAUAAUUUCUGUAUAUAAGACCCUAAAUUCUUAAGAAUAAAGAAAAAGUUACUUUAGGGAUAACAGCGUUUUUUUUUUUCAGAGUUCUUAUCGACAAAAAAGUUGGCGACUUCUUUUUUUUGGAUUAUA
Molecule: ribosomal RNA, 400 nt
Filed under: Boasaxius princeps
Lineage: Eukaryota; Metazoa; Arthropoda; Malacostraca; Decapoda; Axiidae
Description: partial 16S ribosomal RNA
Source: RNAcentral